GGGGCUGAUUCUGGAUUCGACGGGAUUUGCGAAACCCAAGGUGCAUGCCGAGGGGCGGUUGGCCUCGUAAAAAGCCGCAAAAAAUAGUCGCAAACGACGAAAACUACGCUUUAGCAGCUUAAU
Molecule: transfer-messenger RNA, 123 nt
Filed under: Klebsiella pneumoniae
Lineage: Bacteria; Pseudomonadati; Pseudomonadota; Gammaproteobacteria; Enterobacterales; Enterobacteriaceae
Description: partial transfer-messenger RNA
Rfam family: transfer-messenger RNA
About the family: Bacterial tmRNA, also known as 10Sa RNA or SsrA, is named for its dual tRNA and mRNA-like properties. Its role is to liberate the mRNA from a stalled ribosome.
Source: RNAcentral